RNAcentral lists this ribosomal RNA (229 nucleotides) under uncultured bacterium. RNAcentral describes it as "partial 16S ribosomal RNA". It matches the Rfam family "Bacterial small subunit ribosomal RNA", at positions 568 to 796 of the family's 1533-position model. The record is from RNAcentral.
UCCGUAGGUGGCCCAGUAAGUCAGUGGUGAAAUCCUGCCGCUUAACGGUAGAACUGCCAUUGAAACUGCUGGGCUUGAGUACAGUUGAGGUAGGCGGAAUGUGUAGUGUAGCGGUGAAAUGCUUAGAUAUUACACAGAACCCCGAUUGCGAAGGCAGCUUACUAAACUGUAACUGACACUGAGGUACGAAAGCGUGGGGAGCGAACAGGAUUAGAUACCCUGGUAGUCC